UUAUGAAGCUUUGGCUAGUGAUGUUACUGACAUUAGAGAUGCUGCCGUUUCCGAGAUCGCCAAGCUGUCUCUUCUCUCCUUCAAUCCUCACCCGCUUCCCGUUCAAUUUACACCAGACACAAGCCAUGGGUUUGAAGAGUCCCAUGCUAAAAGAGGAAAGCAAAAGGUCUAGCCAAUAACAGGAAAUCUUGUUUUUCUUUUGAGCAUGUUGAAACUUGUUGCGCCUACUCAGAGUUUAACAGGAGGCUGCAACGGAUUAGAACUUUACAUCAUCUGUUACACUGAUAUAAGAGAUCAGUCACGUAACACUCCCAUUUUCCAGUCCAUUUUCUUCUAUAACAAUCAAUAUUAUAUGCUGAAAGUGAUUGUAUAAAUCUUUCUUUCAAAAUAAGUACUGCAUACGUACAUGUAAAUGCCUUUGGACGUUGAACUUGAACUCUUCUUUGUAAUGGUCAGAAAAGUAAACAGUAUCAUCACUUGAUUCUCCAGACUUGUAAAAUUAUAAAUGAAAAGAUGAACGAAAUUCAUAUUCAU
This 534-nucleotide unclassified non-coding RNA is filed under the name Hevea brasiliensis (rubber tree). Lineage: Eukaryota; Viridiplantae; Streptophyta; Magnoliopsida; Malpighiales; Euphorbiaceae. The record is from RNAcentral.